Molecule: ribosomal RNA, 495 nt
Filed under: uncultured bacterium
Lineage: Bacteria
Description: partial 16S ribosomal RNA
Rfam family: Bacterial small subunit ribosomal RNA
Source: RNAcentral
GACGAACGCUGGCGGCGUGCCUAAUACAUGCAAGUAGAACGCUGCAGGUGGAGCUUGCUUCUCCGGAUGAGUUGCGAACGGGUGAGUAACGCGUAGGUAACCUGCCUGGUAGCGGGGGAUAACUAUUGGAAACGAUAGCUAAUACCGCAUAACAGUAGAUCUCGCAUGAUAUCUGCUUGAACGGUGCAAUUGCCUCCCUACCAGAUGGACCUGCGUUGUAUUAGCUAGUUGGUGAGGUAACGGCUCACCAAGGCGACGAUACAUAGCCGACCUGGGCGGCUGAUCGGCGACACUGGGACUGAGACACCGCCAAGACUGCUACGGGAGGCAGCAGUAGGGAAUCGUCCGCAGUGGACGGAAGUCUGACAGAGCGACGCCGCGUGAGUGAAGAAGGUUUUCGGAUCGUAAAGCUUUGUUGUAAGAGAAGAACGAGUGUGAGAGUGGAAAGUUCACACUGUGACGGUGGCUUACCAGAAAGGGACAGCUAACUACGUG